UUUAGUACCGCUGAACUUAAGCAUUUCAAUAAGCGGGAGGAAAAGAAACCAACAGGGAUUACCUCAGUAACGGCGAGUGAAGCGGUAACAGCUCAAAUUUGAAAGCUAGCCCGCCCCGGGUUCGCGUUGUAAUUUGCAGAAGAUGCUUCGGGCGCGGCCCCGGUCUAAGUUCCUUGGAACAGGACGUCACAGAGGGUGAGAAUCCCGUACGUGACCGGGCGCCCGCGCCCGUGUGAAGCUCUUUCGACGAGUCGAGUUGUUUGGGAAUGCAGCUCAAAAUGGGUGGUAUAUUUCAUCUAAAGCUAAAUAUGGGCCAGAGACCGAUAGCGCACAAGUAGAGUGAUCGAAAGAUGAAAAGCACUUUGGAAAGAGAGUUAAACAGUACGUGAAAUUGUUGAAAGGGAAGCGCUUGCAACCAGACUUGCGCACGGGCGAUCACCCGGGCUUCUGCCCGGGGCACUCGUCCGCGCGCAGGCCAGCAUCGGUUCUGGUGGUGGGACAAAGGCCGGGGGAACGUAGCUCCCCUCGGGGAGUGUUAUAGCCCCCGGCGCAAUGCCGCCCACCGGGACCGAGGACCGCGCUCCGGCUAGGAUGCUGGCGUAAUGGUUGUAAGCGACCCGUCUUGAAACACGGACCAAGGAGUCUAACAUCUGUGCGAGUGUUUGGGUGCCAAACCCCUACGCGUAAUGAAAGUGAACGGAGGUGAGAACCCUGAAGGGCGCAUCAUCGACCGAUCCUGAUGUCUUCGGAUGGAUUUGAGUACGAGCACAGCUGUUGGGACCCGAAAGAUGGUGAACUAUGCGUGAAUAGGGUGAAGCCAGAGGAAACUCUGGUGGAGGCUCGCAGCGGUUCUGACGUGCAAAUCGAUCGUCAAAUUUGCGUAUAGGGGCGAAAGACUAAUCGAACCAUCUAGUAGCUGGUCCUGCUGUU
The sequence is a ribosomal RNA, 930 nucleotides long. It matches the Rfam family "Eukaryotic large subunit ribosomal RNA", at positions 20 to 968 of the family's 3401-position model.